UACGUAGGUGGCAAGCGUUGUCCGGAUUUACUGGGCGUAAAGAGCGCGCAGGCGGUCGGAUAAGUCGAAUGUGAAAGCCCCUGGCUCAACCAGGGAGGGUCAUUCGAUACUGUUCGACUCGAAGGCAGGAGAGGGAAGUGGAAUUCCGGGUGUAGUGGUGAAAUGCGUAGAUAUCCGGAGGAACACCAGCGGCGAAGGCGGCAUCCUGGACUGGUCCUGACGCUGAGGAGCGAAAGCAUGGGGAGCGAACAGG
Molecule: ribosomal RNA, 253 nt
Filed under: uncultured bacterium
Lineage: Bacteria
Description: partial 16S ribosomal RNA
Rfam family: Bacterial small subunit ribosomal RNA
Source: RNAcentral